This 557-nucleotide ribosomal RNA is filed under the name Leptophyes discoidalis. RNAcentral describes it as "SSU rRNA". It matches the Rfam family "Eukaryotic small subunit ribosomal RNA", at positions 720 to 1163 of the family's 1831-position model. Lineage: Eukaryota; Metazoa; Arthropoda; Insecta; Orthoptera; Tettigoniidae. The record is from RNAcentral.
AUGAUUCGUGGGACGUCCUGCCGGUGGUGGCGAGUCGAAGGUGUGCUCCCGUCGUGGUCUCCACUUCGGUUCUUGGGCGCCCGAGGCGGACCCCGAUGAAAUCCUACCGCGGUGCUCUUCACCGAGUGUCGAGGUGGGCCGGCACGUUUACUUUGAACAAAUUAGAGUGCUUAAAGCAGGCCUGUUGCGCCUGAAUACUGUGUGCAUGGAAUAAUGGAAUAGGACCUCGGUUCUAUUUUGUUGGUUUUCGGAACCCGAGGUAAUGAUUAAUAGGGACAGGCGGGGGCAUUCGUAUUGCGACGUUAGAGGUGAAAUUCUUGGAUCGUCGCAAGACGGACCGAAGCGAAAGCAUUUGCCAAGUAUGUUUUCAUUAAUCAAGAACGAAAGUUAGAGGUUCGAAGGCGAUCAGAUACCGCCCUAGUUCUAACCAUAAACGAUGCCAGCUAGCGAUCCGCCGAAGUUCCUCCGAUGACUCGGCGGGCAGCUCCCGGGAAACCAAGCUUUUGGGUUCCGGGGAAGUAUGGUUGCAAGCUGAAACUUAAGGAAUUGACGGAAGG